GAUGAACGCUGGCGGCGUGCCUAAUACAUGCAAGUCGAACGAAGAUGUCUUCGGACAUCUUAGUGGCGAACGGGUGAGUAAUACGUAAGCAACCUGCCCACAAGGACCGGGAUAACUGCUGGAAACGGUAGCUAAGACCGGAUAGGUAUACUGAAGGCAUCUUUGGUAUAUUAAAGGUUAGAAACACAAGUGGAUGGGCUUACGGCGCAUUAGCUAGUUGGUGAGGUAACGGCCCACCAAGGCGAUGAUGCGUAGCCGGCCUGAGAGGGUGAACGGCCACAUUGGGACUGAGACACGGCCCAGACUCCUACGGGAGGCAGCAGUAGGGAAUUUUCGGCAAUGGGCGCAAGCCUGACCGAGCAACGCCGCGUGAGUGAAGACGGCC
This 385-nucleotide ribosomal RNA is filed under the name uncultured bacterium. RNAcentral's name for it is "bacterial SSU rRNA". It matches the Rfam family "Bacterial small subunit ribosomal RNA", at positions 28 to 416 of the family's 1533-position model. The record is from RNAcentral.